Molecule: non-coding RNA, 341 nt
Organism: Pelobates cultripes (western spadefoot toad)
Lineage: Eukaryota; Metazoa; Chordata; Amphibia; Anura; Pelobatidae
Source: the annotation of a GenBank genome assembly
AAGGAUUUCUGGCAAUUCUGUCUGGAGUGCAACCUUUCAGUACAAGCGGAGUACAUUCCGGGAAUGACCAAUGUAGUGGCAGAUUGGAAUUCCAGACACUUACGAGAUGCCAGCAAUUGGUGACUGAACCCUGCCAUCUUCAGCCAUUUACAGUCACUUCAGGACCCCUUGGACAUUGACCUGUUCGCAUCAUGCUUGAACACACAUUUGCUGAAGUUUUUUAGCUGGAGGCCGGACCCGGAAGCUUUGGCGACGGACGCUUUCCUCCAACCGUGGCCGAACACCUGCCACUACGCCUUCCCUCCUUUCUCUCUCAUCGCACAGACUUUGCUACACCUCAG